ACUCAAAUGAAUUGACGGGGGCUCACACAAGCGGUGGAGCAUGUGGCUCAAUUCGAGGCUACGCGAAGAACCUUAUCCUAGGCUUGACAUGUGCGAAAGCGCUGGGAAGUAGUUUACGGAAACGUGUAACCAACGGUAUCCAGUCCGGAACCCAGUACAGGUGCUGCAUGGCUGUCGUCAGCUCGUGUCGUGAGAUGUUGGGUUAAGUCCCGUAACGAGCGAAACCCUUGUUUCCAGUUGCCAGCGGGUCAUGCCGGGGACUCUGGAAAGACUGCCGGUGUUAAACCGGAGGAAGGUGGGGAUGACGUCAAGUCCUCAUGGCCUUUAUGCCUAGGGCUGCACACGUGCUACAAUGGCGUGAACAAAGGGACGCAAACGCGCGAGCGGGAGCAAAUCUCAAAAAGCACGCCCCAGUUCAGAUUGAAGGCUGCAACUCGCCUUCAUGAAGUUGGAAUCGCUAGUAAUCGCAGGUCAGCAACACUGCGGUGAAUGUGUUCCUGAGCCUUGCACACACCGCCCGU
This 521-nucleotide ribosomal RNA is filed under the name uncultured bacterium. Its description in RNAcentral is "partial 16S ribosomal RNA". It matches the Rfam family "Bacterial small subunit ribosomal RNA", at positions 899 to 1397 of the family's 1533-position model. The record is from RNAcentral.